AUGACCCCCUCCGCCACUCAUCAUCGCCGGAGCCCCCGUGGCAUCCGGGCUCACCUGAGGCGACGCCACAAUGCCGCCACGGCGAGGACGCCGCCGCUCGCCGGCGCCACGGCAAGGGCGCUCGCCGCCGGGCUCUGGAGGCUCCGCCACGCCGAGCGGCAGGCGGUCAACCCCGGCCCUCUGCAGCGCGACGCUCAUUCUCCCCGUAGCCCCCGACACCGAAGAAAAGGGAAAGCGAAACUCUGCAAUGGCAACAAAACGCGGUGCGGUUUGGGCGUCGGAAUCGCAUGCAGAAAUCAUAGCAUUUUAGACAAGAUCGAUGCCUGCGCUGUGGACUUACCAUAUGGUUGUUGGAUGGAGAAGGCAACCAAAUGGGACCAGCAGCAUGUCUGCCUGCACAACAUGCUGGCUUCACAUGAUCCUUGCCGGCUACCACCACAUGUUCAUCACGCCCGUGCAAUGCCGGCUCACGGCCAUGCUUCGGCGUUGGCGGUGGCGCUGGAGGCCGAGCUUGACAAGGCCCGUGCUCGGAUCAGCGAGCUCGAGGACGAGAAGCGCGUGAUGAGGAAGAAGGUGGAGCGGUUCCUGAGGAAGCUCACGGAGGAGAAGGCGUCGUGGAAGAGCAGAAUGCGUGACAAGGCUCAGCACGUGAUCGCCACGUCAAAAGAGGACGUCAAGACGGAGAGGCGUCACCGGCGGCAGCUGGAGGCGGCCAACGGCAAGCUGGUGAAGGAGCUGGCGGAGGCCAAGGCGUCGGCGAAGCAGGCGGCGCAGAGCUACGAGAUGGAGCGCAAGGCGCGGGAGAUGAUGGAGGACGCGUGCGAGGAGCUGACGAAGGAGGUGGAGGAGGACCAGGCGGAGGUGGAGCUCCUGCGGCGCGAAUGCCUGGGCAUGCGUGAGGAGAUGGAGGAGGAGCGCCGGAUGCUGCAGAUGGCGGAGGUGUGGCGCGAGGAGAGGGUCCAGAUGAAGCUCUCGGACGCCAAGCUCGCGCUGGAGCACAAGUACUCGCAGCUCAACCGGCUGCAGGCCGAGAUGGAGUCGUUCCUGCGGAAAGACGGCAAGAGCAUCGACGCCAACAACUCCACGUUGCGGGAGGCACGGAUGAUCAGCGAGGCGGCGAGCUCCGUUCGGCUCCGCGGCGUCAAGGAGCUGAGCCAUCGGAACCCUCAUGCCCCGGAGGACGUGGAUCGGGUGUUCCAGCAGCUUUGCCGGAGAGAAGGGACGGCAAGCGGCGGCAGCCCGGCGUCCAACCUUCACUCCGUCAGCCCGGCGACGGACAUCUUCUUGGAAAAGCUCGACGGCUCCGCCGACCUGGAGAACGGCAGUGGCAGUAGCUGGGACACGCCCGACCGUGACCGGCGGCGUGAUUCUUGUGCUUCGGCUGGUACCAGCGACCGUUCAGUGGCGCGAGCGAGCAACGCGUCCUUGUUGUCCAAUGGCAAAGGAGGCAGCGGGCUCACUGAUCAGGUUCACCAUCCAAGUCCAAGCAGGGGCGCCACUGGGAAGAACACGGCGUUGAUACGGCGGCUCUGGAGGUCGGCGAUCAGCGAGAGCAGGAAGAAAACAGCUGGAUCUGCAGGGGCGACGCCGACAUCGGAACAGAGGUCAACACUGAUCACCCCGACAUUGCCGGUUGGGGAGCGGUGCAGCUCAUCCUACUUGGUGAAACCGCAGCAGCAGCGGCAGAGAAGCCACGAAUCCAAAGGAUUGGAGCGAGGGCCGCACAAGCACAAGCAGAAGCAAAGCCUGCAGGAGAAGCUUCUGGAGGCUAGGAUGGAUGAUCGCAAGCCCUCGCCCAGCUCUGCUGCCAAGCACAAGACGCAGCUAGCGGCAUGCAACUGA
RNAcentral lists this ribosomal RNA (1842 nucleotides) under Triticum aestivum (bread wheat). Its description in RNAcentral is "partial small subunit ribosomal RNA". Lineage: Eukaryota; Viridiplantae; Streptophyta; Magnoliopsida; Poales; Poaceae. The record is from RNAcentral.